Molecule: ribosomal RNA, 253 nt
Filed under: uncultured bacterium
Lineage: Bacteria
Description: partial 16S ribosomal RNA
Rfam family: Bacterial small subunit ribosomal RNA
Source: RNAcentral
UACGUAGGGUGCGAGCGUUGUCCGGAAUUAUUGGGCGUAAAGGGCUCGUAGGCGGUUUGUCGCGUCGGGAGUGAAAACCUUGGGCUUAACUCAGGGCUUGCUUUCGAUACGGGCAGACUAGAGGUAUGCAGGGGAGAACGGAAUUCCUGGUGUAGCGGUGAAAUGCGCAGAUAUCAGGAGGAACACCGAUGGCGAAGGCAGGUCUCUGGGCCACUACUGACGCUGAGAAGCGAAAGCAUGGGGAGCGAACAGG